This 371-nucleotide small RNA is filed under the name Histoplasma ohiense. RNAcentral's name for it is "hypothetical lncRNA". The record is from RNAcentral. Lineage: Eukaryota; Fungi; Ascomycota; Eurotiomycetes; Onygenales; Ajellomycetaceae.
CAUGGAUGGAUAUAAACAAACGAACAACAAAAAUCCCCAGCCAAGGCCAACUUGUUUGGUGAAUUAAAAAACUCCUCAGGCUGAACCUGGAAGUUUCAAUUUCCCCUGGCAUCUUCAAAAAAUUUUAGUUUCAAGCCCUUGGGCAUUGAGCGUGGUACUGGUAAUGUUAGGGUUUUUAUCUGCCCGCCCCAUAAACCGCUCAAUUGUUGAUGGAAUAAACCAGCGAUGAUAUAUUGAGGAUCUUUGGAAUCCCUAGAUUCAAGCUUGACAUUCUUAGUUCUUAUAUAAUCCUUUUGUCUUGCUUUAAAAAUUAAAAAUUAAAAUAUAACUAAAAUAACGAUGAAUAAACGGGUCAAGAGAUAAAUGCGUAA